Non-coding RNA from Pelobates cultripes (western spadefoot toad), 314 nucleotides. The record is from the annotation of a GenBank genome assembly. Lineage: Eukaryota; Metazoa; Chordata; Amphibia; Anura; Pelobatidae.
GGUUAAUCCAGCCUCUAGUGGCUGUCUCAUUGACAGCCGCUAGAGGCGCUUGCGUGCUUCUCACUGUGAUUUUAACAGUGAGAAGACGCCAGCGUCCAUAGGAAAGCAUUGUGACUGGCUGAAUGCUCUUGCCGCGCAUGCAGCCGAGGAGGAGAGCUCCCCACCCGGCGCUGGAGAAAGAGGUAAGUUUAACCCCUUCCUCACCCUAGAGCCCGGCGGGAGGGGGACCCUGAGGGUGGGGGCACCCUCAGGGCAGUAUAGUGCCAGGAAAACGAGUAUGUUUUCCUGGCACUAUAGUGGUCCUUUAACAUUCU